ACUAUGGAAAGGAAGAGAGUAU
RNAcentral lists this small nuclear RNA (22 nucleotides) under Arabidopsis thaliana (thale cress). RNAcentral describes it as "snRNA_01439". The record is from RNAcentral. Lineage: Eukaryota; Viridiplantae; Streptophyta; Magnoliopsida; Brassicales; Brassicaceae.